This 443-nucleotide ribosomal RNA is filed under the name uncultured bacterium. Its description in RNAcentral is "partial 16S ribosomal RNA". It matches the Rfam family "Bacterial small subunit ribosomal RNA", at positions 338 to 795 of the family's 1533-position model. The record is from RNAcentral.
CCUACGGGUGGCUGCAGUGGGGAAUAUUGGGCAAUGGAGGCAACUCUGACCCAGCAAUGCCGCGUGAAGGAAGAAGGCCUUCGGAUUGUAAAGUUCUUUUAUCAGGGACGAAGAAGAUGACGGUACCUGAGGAAUAAGCCACGGCUAACUAUGUGCCAGCAGCCGCGGUAAUACAUAGGUGGCGAGCGUUGUCCGGAUUGACUGGGCGUAAAGGGCGCGUAGGCGGGCUGUUAAGUCAGAUGUGAAAUCCCGGGGCUCAACCCCGGAACUGCAUUCAAGACUGAAGGUCUUGAGUGUAGGAGGGGUAAGCGGAAUUCCGAGUGUAGCGGUGGAAUGCGUAGAUAUUAGGAGGAACACCAGUGGCGAAGGCGGCUUACUGGAUUAUAACUGACGCUGAGGCUCGAAAGCGUGGGUAGCAAACAGGAUUAGAUACCCGUGUAGUC